CAAUUGUUGACUCUUGUAUAUCCUCACACGUUGCAUCUUCUGAACUUGUAACGGCAUCCCCACCACCUUGGACUUCUUCUGGCAUUUUGAGUUCAUGUUCCUUUUCUUGAUUUUCCUCUUUGCUCACUAUCUCAUUCUCAUUCAAUUCAGGUUUAGCCUUCUCUGAUCCUGUCACUUCACACACCUCCUUAACCAAUGGGCUUUCAAACUCAUCAUUGACUAUAGCAUCUUCCUCAAUCUUUUCUUCAUUUUCCAUAGUUUCUUUUUUAGGUUCUAUUUCUGUUGAGCUGCAAACAUCAGUAGUAAUGACAUGCAGCAACCCUUGUUGCUCCAUAUUUUCUUUUGUUUCUAUACUAGAUUCGAUUUCUUCAAUGUUUUCCUCUACACUUUCUCUCGUUUCAACAACUUCAGGUUCUUUACCUUCUUCUUGGUAGUUCUUUUCUUGCAAGUCUUCUUCUAAGGCUGCAACCUGUGAGCUUGUUACAUUAUCCUCGCCUUGACCUUCUGUUGACAUGUCAACCUGAUCCUUUUCUUGUUCUUCAUCCUUGAAAGUUUCAAUAGCUUUUACCUCUUGUUCAGAUUCAACCUUUUUUGAGCUAGUCUCAUCGCAUACCUCCUUGGUAGUCUCUUCAUAAACCUCCUUCAUAGACUCUUCAUUCUUUUGUUCAGUUUCCGUGGUCUCUUCUUGAGAUUCUGUUUGUGCUGAUAUGCAAGCUACCUCUUGAGCAUCACUUGGUUUUUCCUCUGUUUCUUCCAUAAGGAUCUCUUUAGGCAUUAAACCUAUCGCUUGUCCCUCCUCUAAAUAGGCCACUGUAGUGUCCUGUUGACCAACUGUUGUUUCUUUUAUAUCCUCACACGUUGCAUCUUUUGAACUUGUAGUUGUAACAUCAUCCCCUAAACCUUUUCCUGACACAUAAACCUCUUGUUCCUUUUCUUCAUCUUCAACUUUGUUCACUAUUUCUUUCUCAUUUGUUGUUUCUUUUACCUCUUCGCUAUAUUCAACUUUCUCUGAACUGGUCUCUUCACAUACUUCAUUGACUGGGGAGCUGUCAACAUUUUCCUUUUGACCAUUAUCACUCUGAAUAGGCUCGUCACUUUUUACUUCAUGUUCUUCACUUUCUACCUGAGAUUUUGUUUGUGAUGUGAUGCAAUCAUCAUGCAACAGUUCUUGCUGCUUGGUUUCAACACUUGGUUUGAUUUCUUUAGUAUCUUCCUCUUGCUCAAUCUCUGAACAAGAUUGAACAGUUUUGUUGUCGCUUUCAUCAGGCUUUUGUUCUGUUUUGUCCUAUUAGAGAAAAAGUAUUCAGUUAGAUAUGAUGAUUUAUAUAAAUAGGCUCAAAGUUUUUAAAAACAAUCUCUGUGGUAGGUUUUUUUCAUUGUUCUUUUUUAAGAUAAUUGUGAGUGACAGUUGUUCUUUAUAACAUUAACAUGAUUCUACAUUGCUUAGUAAUAAAACAUUAAAAGUUUUAGUAGGAAAGAUAUACAAGUAAAACCUUUUGGAUUGUUCAGAGUUAACAUGGGAUGAACACGAAUUACCUCUUGAGCAUCAAUUGCACUCUGAUUCGGCUCCUCGAACUCGAUAUCAGCCACUGGGGUAGCCUUUUGACCAAUUAUUGUUUCUUUUAUAUCCUCGCUGGAUGCAUUCUGUGAGCUUGUAACAUCAUCUCCACCACCUUGGACUUCUUUUGACAUUUUAAUCUCUUGUUCCUUUUCUUGAUUUUCCUCAUUGUUCACUAUUUCAUUCUCAUUCAAUUCAGAUUCAGCCUUCUCUGAGCUUGUUGCUUCACAUACUUCCUUCACCAAGGGGCUUUCAGACUUAUCUGUUUGACCAUCAUCAUUCACCAAUGCCUCUUCAUCAAUCUUUAUAUCAUCUUUUGUUUCGGCACUAGAUUUGAUUUCUUCAGUAUCUUCCUCUAAAUACUCUCUAGGUUUGACAAAUUCGGGUUCCUUACCUUCAUCAUCAUAUUUUGUUUCUGGUAAGUCCUGUAUAGAAGUUGCAUCUUGUGAGAAAGUGACAUCAUCUUUUCCUUGGUCUUCUUCUGAAAUGAUGGACUCUUGUUCUUGUUCUUGUUCUUUUUCUUUUUCUUGAUGUUCAUCUUUGUCAGAAGGUUCUACCCCUUCAAAUUUACCCUUCUCUAAGUGAGUUUCUUCACAUACUUCAGUCACAUCUUCAUCGUCUGUAAUCUUUACCUGCUCCUUUUCAUCUGUUUCCACACUUGGCUUGAUUUCUUCAGCAUUUUCAUUUUUGUUGACACUUUCCUCGGGCUUUUGUUCUAUUUUUUCAUUUGCUCCACUCUCAUCCUGCUCACUUGCCUAUAUGAACACAAGUAUUUUGAGUACAUGUGGAGAAUAAAAGUAACACAUCAUGAUAAGUCUAAUGCAUAGUCAAACUUUUAAAACAAUCUUUGUGGCAGCUUCAAAAAAAUUUGUGAGCCAAAUUUGCUAUAAACUACUUUAUAGAAUGGUUUUCUCUAAACAUUUAUCGUUUUAUGAACUCUAACUCUUCUCAACAAAUGAAACUAAACGUUUGGAUGAGACAAGCAUUUGACAUUAAAAUUAUGUAUGAAAAUCAUAAUAUUGUCUUAUACUUUUAUAAAUUAAACAUAAAACUAGUAAGAAUUAGCCUUAACAUUUAACAAUACAUUAGUAUAAUAUGUGAUUUUUAGUUUCUCUUACACAUGAGAUAAGAAAAUAUGUAGCAGACAACAACAUUUCCAUAUGUCAUAAUGAUUAUAGCAUUUCAAAUUCUAGUAAGACUGAUCUACAAUUAAAACUGUAAAACCUUUUAGGAAUAGUUAGGUUUACUUAGAAUGAACAUGAAUUACCUCUUGCACAUCAGUUGAUUUGUCCUCUGCUUCUUCCUUAAGGAUCUCCUUAGGCGUUGAGUUUAGAGCCUGUUCCUCCUCUAAAUAGGCCACUGUAGUAACAUGCUCACCAGUUGUUGUUUCUUUUAUAUCCUCAAAUGUUGCAUCUUGUGAACUUGUAACAUCAUCCCCUAAACCUUUUCCUGACACAUAAACCUCUUGUUCCUUUUCUUCAUCUUCAACUUUGCUUGCUAUUUCGUUUUCAUUCAGAUCGAUAUUAACACUGUCAGAAAGUUUUAACCCUUCUUCAGAUUCAACCUUCUCUGAGACAGUCUCUUCACAUACUUCCUUCACCAUGGUCUCUGUAUUAGAACUAUCAGAGUAGUUCACCUCUUCUUUAUAUUCAAUUUUCUCUGAACUAGCCUCUUCACAUACUUCAACACUUGGUUUGGUUUCUUCAGUAUCUUUCUCUUGCUCAAUUUCUGAACCAGACUGUACAAUUUUGUUGUCACUUUCUGCAGACUUUUGUUCUUUUUUGUCCUAUUAGAGAAGAAAUAUUCAGUAUAUUAUACGACUGAAAGAAAAGAAAUGAUGAUUUAUAUAAACAGGCUUAAAGUUUUUAAAAACAAUCUUAAGGGUAGGUUUUUUUCAUUGUUAUUCUAUAAAAUAAAUGUGAGCGACAGUUGUACUUUAUAACAUGAAUCUACAUUGGUUAGUGAUAAAAAAAAGCAUUUCAAGUUUUAGUUGGAAUGAUGUACAAGUAAAACCUUUUGGAUUGUUUAGGAGUUAACAUGGUAUGAACAUGAUUUACCUCUUGAACAUCAAUCACACUCUGAUUCUGCUCCUCGAACUCGAUAUUAGCCACUGGGGUAGCCUGUUGACCAAUUGUUGUUUCUUUUAUAUCCUCACUGGAUGCAUUCUGUGAUCUUGUAACAUCAUCUCCACCACCUUGGACUUCUUCUGACAUUUUAAGCUCUUGUUCCUUUUCUUGAUUUUCCUCUUUGCUCACUAUUUCGUUCUCAUUCAAUUCAGAUUCAGCCUUCUCUGAGGUUGUCGCAUCAUAUACUUCCUUCACCAAGGGGCUUUCAGACUUCUUUGUUUGAUCAUCAUCAUUCACUAAUGCCUCUUCAUCAAUCUUUAUAUCAUCUUUUGUAUCAGCACUAGAUUUGAUUUCUUGAGUAUCUUCGUCUAUAUUCUCUCUAGGUUUGACAAAUACAGGUAAGUUCUCUAUAGUGGUUGCAUCUUGUGAGCAUGUGAUAUCAUCUUUUCCUUGGUCUUCUUCUGAAAUGAUGGACUCUUGUUCUUUUUCUUUUUCUUGAUCUUUAUCAUUGUCAGAAGGUUCUACCCCUUCAAAAUUUCCCUUCUCUAAUUGAGUUUCUGCACAUACUUCAAUCACAUCUUCUUCAUAGUCUGUAAUCUUCACUUGUUCCUUUUCAUCUAUUUCCACACUUGGCUUGAUUUCUUCGGUAUCUUCAAUUUUGUUGACAAUUUCCUCGGGAUUUUGUUCUAUUUUUUCGUUUGCUCCACUCUCAUACUGCUCGCUUGCCUACAUGAAAACAAGUAUUUUGAGUACAUGUGGAGAAUGAAAGUAAUACAUCAUGAUAAGUCUAAUGCAUAGUCAAAGUUUUAAAACAAUCUUUGUGGCAGCUUCCAAAAAAAUUGUGAGCCAAAGUUGCUAUAAACUACUUUAUAGAAUGGUUUUCUCUAAACAUUUAUCAUCUUAUGAACACUAACUCUUCUCAACAAAUGAAAUUAAACCUUUGGAGGAGACAAGCAUUUGACAUUAAAACUAUGUAUGAAAAUCAUAAUAUUGUCUUAUAUUUUUAUAGAUUAAACAUAGAACUAAUAAGAACUCUAACUCUUCACUUACUUGUUGCUCCGUUUCAACACUAGGUUUGAUAUCUUCAGUAUCUUCCCCUUGCUCUGUUUCUGAAGAAGACUUUGCACUUUUGUUGACAAUUUCCUCAGGCUUUUGCUCACUUUUUUCCUCUGCCUCAUUAUCGCACUUCUUGCUUGCCUAUUCGAGAAAAUAUUUUCAGCAUAUAGGAAGAAUGAAAGAAAAGAAAUGAUGUUUUAUACGAAUAGGCUCAAAGUUAUUGAAAACAAUAUGUGUGAUGUUUCAUUGUUCUUUCUUUAAACAGAUUGUUAAUGGAAGUUCUUUAUAACGUGGUUUUUUCUAGGCAUUUAUCAUUUUCUUGAACAUCAUGUUAGAUUGGUAUGGCAUGCGCUUCGGGCUCAACAAUGGUGGAGGAGAAGAAUAUUUGACAUUAAAACAGUGCAUGAGGUUCAUAAGAUGAGUCUUAUGGUUUAAGCAUAGAGUAAGUAAGAAAAAGCAGCAACAUUUCCAUAUUUGUACAUACUCUACAACUUAAUAUAAACUAUGUCCAGAAUUUGUGUAUGUUAUCUUGUUUAGGGCCUUUAUAGGGCAUAAUGCAUGCUUCUUAGUUUUUCUUUUUCAUAAACAUGAGAUAAGAAAUUAUGUAGCAGACAACAUUUCCAUAUUUCUUAAGAAUAUGGCAUUUCAAAUUUUAGUUGGAUUGAUUUACAAGUAAAACCUUUUUGGAAUAGUUAGGGUUUCCUUAUAACGACUAAUGAACAUGAGUUACCUCUUGAGCAUCACUUGGUUUGUCCUCUGCUUCUUCCUUGAGGAUCUCUUCAGGCAUUGGACUUAGACUCUGUGCCUCCUCUAAAUGAGCCACUUCGGUACUAGCAUGUUCAUCAAUUGUUGUUUCUUUUAUAUCCUCACAUGUUGCAUCUUGUGGACUUGUAACAUCAUCCCCAUCACCUUGUCCUUUUCCUGAAACAUAAACCUCUUGUUCCUUUUCUUCAUAUGCUAUUUCAUUCUCAUUCAAAGCGAUAUUGGAACUGUCAUAAAAUUGUAACCCUUCUUCAGAUUCAACCUUCUCUAAGAUAGUCUCUUCACUAGUUCUGAUUUCUUCAGUAUCUUCCCCUAUACUUUCUUUAGUUUUAACAACUUCAGGUUCGUUAACUUCACUGUGGUGUUCUCUUUCUUUUAAGCCUCCUUCAUAAGUUGCAUCAUGUGAGCUUGUAACAGUAUCAUCACCUUGGUCUUUUUCUAAUGUGUUGCCCUCUUGUUUCCUUUCUAGAUCUUCAUCUUUGCUUAAAAUCGGUAGUGUUUUCUCGUUGAUCUCUACAUUAGAACUAUCAGAAUGUUUGACCUCUUCUUCAUAUUCAACUUUCUCCGAACUGGUCUCUUCAUCUACAAUUUUGUUGACAUUUUCCUCAGACUUUUGUUCUCUUUCUUCCUUCACACACUCCUCGCUUGCCUAUUCGGGAAGUUGGUUUUGUUUUUUCAGUAUACAAGAAUUAUGAAAAAAAAAAAUAAAUGAUGAUUUAUAGGAAUAGGCUCAAAGUUUAUGAAGUUAAACCUUUUGGAAUAGUUAGAUUACUUAAAAUGAACAUGAAUUACCUCUUGAGCAUCACUUGAUUUGUCCUCCUGUUCCUUUUCUUCAUCUUCAACUUUGCUUGCCAUUUCAUUCUCUUUCAGGGCAAUAUUGUAACUGUCCGAAAGCUGUAACCCUUCUUCAUAUCCAGUUUUCUCUGAAACAGUCUCUUCACUUGCUUCUUUUACAAUGGGGCUUUCAGACUUGAUCUCUGUUAAAGAACUAUCAGAAUGCUUUACCUCUUCUUUAUAUUCAACUUUUUGUAAACCAGUUUCUUCACUCUGAAUUGCUUCAUCAUUUUUUAUUUCAUGUUCUGCACUUAUUACAUGAGGCUCUGUUUGUGAUGUGAUGCAAUCUUCAG
RNAcentral lists this long non-coding RNA (6569 nucleotides) under Lactuca sativa (garden lettuce). RNAcentral's name for it is "long non-coding RNA (LSAT_LNC004763)". Lineage: Eukaryota; Viridiplantae; Streptophyta; Magnoliopsida; Asterales; Asteraceae. The record is from RNAcentral.